UGCCCCUUAGCCAAGCGGUCAAGGCAUAAGAUUUUGGUUCUUACAUCAUCAGUUCGAUUCUGAUAGGGGUAG
This 72-nucleotide transfer RNA is filed under the name Caudoviricetes sp. RNAcentral describes it as "tRNA-Gln". It matches the Rfam family "tRNA". Rfam says of the family: Transfer RNA (tRNA) molecules are approximately 80 nucleotides in length. Their secondary structure includes four short double-helical elements and three loops (D, anti-codon, and T loops). Lineage: Duplodnaviria; Heunggongvirae; Uroviricota; Caudoviricetes. The record is from RNAcentral.